This 305-nucleotide ribosomal RNA is filed under the name uncultured bacterium. Its description in RNAcentral is "bacterial SSU rRNA". It matches the Rfam family "Bacterial small subunit ribosomal RNA", at positions 337 to 659 of the family's 1533-position model. The record is from RNAcentral.
UCCUACGGGACGCAGCAGUGGGGAAUAUUGGACAAUGGGGGGAACCCUGAUCCAGCGACGCCGCGUGAGUGAAGAAGUAUUUCGGUAUGUAAAGCUCUAUCAGCAGGGAAGAAAAUGACGGUACCUGACUAAGAAGCCCCGGCUAAUUACGUGCCAGCAGCCGCGGUAAUACGUAGGGGGCAAGCGUUAUCCGGAUUUACUGGGUGUAAAGGGAGCGUAGACGGUUAUGUAAGUCUGGAGUGAAAGCCCGGGGCCCAACCCCGGGACUGCUUUGGAAACUGUGUAACUGGAGUACAGGAGGGGCA